RNAcentral lists this ribosomal RNA (384 nucleotides) under uncultured bacterium. Its description in RNAcentral is "bacterial SSU rRNA". It matches the Rfam family "Bacterial small subunit ribosomal RNA", at positions 30 to 414 of the family's 1533-position model. The record is from RNAcentral.
AUUGAACGCUGGCGGCAUGCCUUACACAUGCAAGUCGAACGGCAGCACGGGAGCAAUCCUGGUGGCGAGUGACGAACGGGUGAGUAAUGUAUCGGAACGUACCUUUCAGUGGGGGAUAACGUAGCGAAAGUUACGCUAAUACCGCAUAUUCUGUGAGCAGGAAAGCAGGGGAUCGCAAGACCUUGCGCUGAUUGAGCGGCCGAUGUCAGAUUAGCUAGUUGGUGAGGUAAAGGCUCACCAAGGCGACGAUCUGUAGCGGGUCUGAGAGGAUGAUCCGCCACACUGGAACUGAGACACGGUCCAGACUCCUACGGGAGGCAGCAGUGGGGAAUUUUGGACAAUGGGCGCAAGCCUGAUCCAGCCAUGCCGCGUGAGUGAAGAAGG